ACAACUUUCAGCAACGGAUCUCUUGGCUCUCGCAUCGAUGAAGAACGCAGCGAAAUGCGAUAAGUAAUGUGAAUUGCAAAAUUCAGUGAAUCAUCGAAUCUUUGAACGCACCUUGCGCUCCUUGGUAUUCCGAGGAGCAUGCCUGUUUGAGUGUCAUUAA
RNAcentral lists this ribosomal RNA (160 nucleotides) under Conocybe crispa. RNAcentral describes it as "5.8S ribosomal RNA". It matches the Rfam family "5.8S ribosomal RNA". From Rfam's summary of the family: 5.8S ribosomal RNA (5.8S rRNA) is a component of the large subunit of the eukaryotic ribosome. The record is from RNAcentral. Lineage: Eukaryota; Fungi; Basidiomycota; Agaricomycetes; Agaricales; Bolbitiaceae.